UACAGAGGUCCCAAGCGUUGUUCGGAUUCACUGGGCGUAAAGGGUGCGUAGGUGGUGGGGUAAGUCGGAUGUGAAAGCUCGGAGCUCAACUCCGAAACUGCAUUCGAUACUGCCGUGCUUGAGGACUGGAGAGGAGACUGGAAUUUACGGUGUAGCGGUGAAAUGCGUAGAUAUCGUAAGGAAGACCAGUGGCGAAGGCGGGUCUCUGGACAGUUCCUGACGCUGAGGCACGAAGGUCAGGGGAGCAAACGGG
RNAcentral lists this ribosomal RNA (253 nucleotides) under uncultured bacterium. Its description in RNAcentral is "partial 16S ribosomal RNA". It matches the Rfam family "Bacterial small subunit ribosomal RNA", at positions 524 to 776 of the family's 1533-position model. The record is from RNAcentral.